This 219-nucleotide ribosomal RNA is filed under the name Aeromonas jandaei. RNAcentral describes it as "partial 16S ribosomal RNA". It matches the Rfam family "Bacterial small subunit ribosomal RNA", at positions 1321 to 1533 of the family's 1533-position model. The record is from RNAcentral. Lineage: Bacteria; Pseudomonadati; Pseudomonadota; Gammaproteobacteria; Aeromonadales; Aeromonadaceae.
UGAAGUCGGAAUCGCUAGUAAUCGCAAAUCAGAAUGUUGCGGUGAAUACGUUCCCGGGCCUUGUACACACCGCCCGUCACACCAUGGGAGUGGGUUGCACCAGAAGUAGAUAGCUUAACCUUCGGGAGGGCGUUUACCACGGUGUGAUUCAUGACUGGGGUGAAGUCGUAACAAGGUAACCCUAGGGGAACCUGGGGUUGGAUCACCUCCUUACCUUAA